Brassica napus (rape) is the source of this 4588-nucleotide long non-coding RNA. RefSeq lists it as uncharacterized. NCBI's taxonomy places the organism in Eukaryota, Viridiplantae, Streptophyta, Magnoliopsida, Brassicales, Brassicaceae. The transcript has 2 exons. The record is from RefSeq and is a predicted model, not a curated record.
AGUCUAAGAGUACACACGAGAAGGAGAAUGUGAAUAAACUGAGAGUGCCGUUACAGAAAUGCGAAUAAAAGAAAGGAGAUCAAUGUUUCUGGAAUUUAUAUCAAGAACUUAUCAGGAUCUUAUACGGUGCUGAGAGGGCUUCAUGUCUUAUUUAUACUAUGAAAAAUUACGGAUAAUGAAAUCGGUGUUGGAGAGGGAACAUUGAAGUUGACGUAAUGGGUUUAGUGGCGGAGGAUGUUAAUGUAAUCGCUUUAAGGCGUGAAUCAAUUUGAAGCAGUAACGUUCGGCGGAUGAAGACUCAUCCGGCACAACAAAAUAGGGCUAUUGAGAAGACGAAGACUCGGAGUGCAGAGGUGGGCCCUUAAUGGGUUGACCAUAAAGUUCCAACCAUUUUAAACUCGUCAACGAAAUAGAAGAGCUUAAAAGAAACGCUGACGUGUCACGAUUUUCUCUCCUCUCCAGAGUGACGUGGACAGCCUAAAAAGUCAGAUACUUCAACAUUAUCAAUACAAUACUAAAAUGGGAAUACCCUGAAUAGUUAGAGUGUCCACGUCGACAGUAAAAAUCAACCAAUAGGAGAAGAGCUUUCCGCCACAUCAGAUGCUCACUUCUGUCAUUUGGGCUUCGCGUUUCACCGGCCCGUUAACGUUCAGAAUUGAGAACCAAACUCUGUGUUUCCUGUUAUGUCUGAAUCGUCUUCUUCUUCAACGAUCCGCCGUCCCCUUCCUCUCAAUUUUCGACCUCUCCUAUGUCCUCAUCUAUGUCUCUUCCUUACCUUCCGUUCAACGUUUAUAUCUUAGUCUAUACAAAGAAUCUUCAGUUUACAUUUAAGGCAUUAACUCCCACAAACUCUCUGCCUCCCUCUUUAACAAUCAAAGCAUUAGCUUUGUGCGUAUCUAAUCCGAAAAAUAUCUCAAACACUAAAAAUAUGAGAGGAUUGAGAGUGGAAUCAAGUUUCACCAACACGCUCUCUCAGUUAUGUUCUCUGAAAAAACCCUAAAAUCUUUCUUCGAAUUGUCUUCGUGUGAUGAUGUUGUUGUCCAAUUAGCCAUCCGCCACUCAACCUUUAAUCACUCUCUUCUCUUUGAUUAAAAAGGUAUUGUCGUCUUACACUAUCAAGCAUCAUAUUUUUCGAUCUCUAUUUUUUUUUAGAAAGACUUAUGAAUUUACUCUUCCUGCAAAAAUCGUUGAUCCACAGAUCCAUUCCUGGAUUAGUGUUCAUUUUCCGGAAUCAAAACGCUUCUACAGUUUUUUUUUUAAUUUGUGAAAAUACUUCCACAUAUUAUAAUUUUUAUAUGUGUUGUUUCUUUCAAGCUGAAUAGAAGACAAAAAAAGACGAGAGGAUUCAGUACAACAAAUUAUUGCAACUUCUGCCACAUGAUCAGGUAAACAUCAUGAUAUUUUCAUGUAUGAUAACUCAGUUCUUUAUAAUUGUGGUAGUCUCUAAAUUUGGAUUACUAUGUCUCUCGCUAUAGUGAAGCAUAACACAUAUCUGAAUUUAUUUCUACGUUUGUUUCAAAGAAAAAAAGCAUUACUUGGGAGUCAUUCACCAGUAGUGUAAUCAAGCAACAAAUUUUGAAACUCUGAAGCUAGGCAACCCAUAUGGCUUUGGCUUUGUUUUUGUCUUAUAAUCUGGUGUUCUCUACAGCUCUGCUCGAAUCAGCUAAAUACAGCUAUGUCACAAAUUAAAGUGUUUAAUCAUGACAGGUCAGUCCCUAAUUUAAGCAUUUUCCUGAUGGUUUUGGUAUUUCUUACUUAAGAAAAAUAUGUUUGAGCACUUGCCCUUCCAAAAAGGUUGGAUGACUUCUUGAUUUCAGUUGUGCCGUGAGAUUUCAGCUCUGGCGUUUCUAAACUUGGUUGGAUCUUCUUCUCCUCCUACGAAGAUCUGUUGAGAAUUGAUUACGAGAUAUAAACCCUGCAAUCAAGAAAGAGUGAAGACAGUGAUCAGAAGAAGAACAACAACGAUACGAAGAAGAGAAUCAAAGUCUAAAGUGAAAGAGAAAGAAGAAGAUAAAGUCAACUUAGAGUCAAAGAAGGAGGCAGCCUUGCAUUACAUCUCUGAAGAGUCGUUAGUCAUCUUAAGAGGUUAGUUAAUAAUUUAACUGAGUGAGUAUAACUAGGAGAUGAACAGAGAGUCGUAUGAGAAGAGUUGUUAGAACAGUGUUUGAAUUGCUUGCAAGAUUUGUCUAAAAGCUAGAAGUAUUAUUAGGUGUAAGCAAGCAUAAUUAAAGUCAGUUAAUUAAUCUGCUAUAAAGAGCUAAGUAUUAUUUGUUGUUGUAGAAUGUGAGGAAAGCAAGGGAAAAGCAUGAUUGUUGCGGGGUUUUUUGAGUCGAAAAAGAAUCAUGGUAACGAACUGAUUGAAAAGUUGGAAGCUGGUAUGCAAGAUAUGCUACAGAUUGCCGAAGAUCGGAAGAGAGAUGUUGUUGCUCCUAAACUGAAAGAGAAUCUCCAAUAUGUUGGCGGGUGAGUUUACUCAAAAGUGUAAUGCACGAGAGACAAAAAAGCCAAUAUGGUUUUGGAUUAGUAAGGAAGCUGAUAUACUUGCUCAUUUAGACCCUUCUUGAUGACUGCAGCUGAGAUCUUCCUGUCAUGUGGCGCUCUGCAGAAUAGAGGAGGACAUGGUCGAGGGCUUCCUCUACGAAGUCCCUGAAGAGUAUAUAAACAUGCCUUUUCUCAAGAGAAGUGUACAUGAAGGCCAAGAUCAAGGACAAUCCCAACCUUGAGGAUUGUGUUUUCCACAUUGUCGUCGAUGGCUAUAACGCCCCUGUUACUGCCGGGAAUUUUGUGGACUUGGCGGAGCGCAAUUUCUACAAUGGCAUGGAGAUCCAGAAAUAUAUAUAUAUAUAUAUAUAUAUAUAUAUAUUGUAUAUGGGAAAUUUUUGUUAAUCAAUGGAUGAAGAUUUUUUGCAGCUGAUGAGUUUGUGGUACAAACAAGGGAUCCAGACAGUCAUGCGGAAGGAUUUAUAGAUCCAACCACAGAGAAGUAAGGACAGUUCCUCUUGAGAUUAUGGUGACUGGGAAAAAAACGCCAUUUUACGGCUCAACCCUAAAGUAAAAGCUUACACCCUUCUGACAGUAUAUUUAUUCAUAAUAAUAAUAAUAAAUUAUCAUUUGUUAAUUUGGUUGGACAGGUAUUGGGUCUGUACAAUGGCAAUGGCUAGAGAAGUGAGAGUUCUUACUCUUCCUUAACAUUUGAAUAUAUAUAUAUUCUAAUUAUAUGUAAUGCAAAAAAGGGGUUUGAGAAUGACUCAGAAUCGAGCCAAGUGUUUUGGCUGCUGACAGAGCGUGAGCUGACGCCAAGCAAUUCCAACAUCUUGGACGGUCGUUACGAUGUCUUCGGCGGCUACGUUACUCAUAAUGAAGAUUUUCUGGCUGAUCUUAAAGUCGAUAAUGUCACUGAGGUCAUUCAAGUUGUCUCCGGUUGAGAAGGAAUAUGUUCUUGCACAAAAGAAAACAGAAAAGCAACAUGGUACUGCUUUAUUUGUAUUAGAUAUAUAUUUCAGACAGUGUUAAAUUACAUUCGACAUCCAGUUUCGUGUUCUUCCCAUAGACAUCAUUCUCAGAGAUCCUACUACAUUCGAAACUUUUUUUCUUAUUAUUAUGGCUAGCACAUCUACCAUUCUUGCUGCUCUCAAAUAUGGACGCUGCUCAUCCACCGUGGAGGUGGAGGUGCGGCUUCUCCGGUUUUGGGAAGCCAGAAACAUUAAACGUGGUGGCCACUUCAUGGGAGUAGAUAUGCUUCUUCUGGAUUCUAAGUUGAUUCCGUUUUUUAAAUUCAUGUUCAUCAUAGUUUUGAACAGAUCUCCAAUAUUAAGAUUCAUGUUUAACAGUAUUAUGAUUUCAAUAUUAUUUAUUUCCUCUUCGUGAUUUGGUUUUGAAUCCAGUUUUAAAUUGUGUUCUUCUGUUUAUAAACGUUUUCAGGCGAUGCUCAUACCCGCCACCAUCAACGUGAACCGUCUUCCCACCUACCGGGGACACUUGAAGGUAGAUACCCGCUACAAGAUCGUUUAGGGUACUGUUAUACGAGCUGCAAAUCCAGCACAAACCUCGAGUUCAGAAGAUUCCUCACAAGAGCUAUCAAGUCCAGAAGAUUCCACCGAGUCGCAAGAUCUACCAAGUACGUCUUUGACAUCAGAAAAUAAUCUUGAGAAAGCAGAGUCUGCAACAAAAGCUCUUGCAGUGGCUGAUUCCAAAGUGUUCGAAGCCAAAGAGGCGUCUCAAGUUGCAGAUACGGCCCCAAAGAAGUCUCUGACCGAUGUAAUGUCCACCUACUCGACCACAUUAAUUAUCCUAAAUUGAUCAUCACUCAGCUCUUUUUUGAUUCGUUCCUUGCAGGUGCUAAAAGAUGAAAAUGUUGAACUAUGGUAGAGCUUUAUACCUUGUGGUCCGGUUCAAUGUAGAUGUAAAGGACUGUUUUUUUAAUAGGUUUUGGCUUUGAGAACAAAAAUAAAGAGUACAUGUAUAUGAGAUUUCAUUGACUAUUGACGUUGUCACUUUUUGGUUAGUUUUUGAUGUUAAGUACGGUUCUGGAUGUUAGUAGAUGUUUUUGCAAGUCAUACUGAGAAUUGUUAAUGCAUGAUUGUGUUUA